CGGGUAGCUCCUCCGAAGAUGAAACCGAGGACAAAGCUGCUGCAGCCACUGCAGUGAGAAGGGGAAAAUUAGCCCGACAGGCCAUGAGCACCCGACAAAACGAAUCUAAAAAGAAGCACCCUUUUCCCUCGUAGAGCUGCAGCAAUGGAAAGCUUCAGUUGGACUAUAAUAGAGACAAUCCAGAGAAGAGACUACACGAAUAUACACAAGUCUGGACCUCAAAGCACCUGCAAGAGAGACCCACGUAGCUUAUUUGUUUAUAGGCCAAUCUCCAGGUGACAUAAAGAAAAAGCUGCCAAAGAUGGAUGAGACACAUGACAUAGGACUAAGUGAGUAUAGAGUUUCAAACGAGAAAACGCAGGUUGCCAGGGAAACGGUAGCCUACUUGGGGCUAGAAAUCUUCUGUGGACAUCAACAACUCAGCAGAGACCAGAAAGAAGCCAUCCGUCAUCUUCCAGAGCCCCACACUGUGAGAGAAAUGCAAGCCUUCCUGGGAAUGGUAGAUUGGAACCUC
Ficedula albicollis (Collared flycatcher) is the source of this 514-nucleotide long non-coding RNA. RefSeq lists it as uncharacterized. The record is from RefSeq and is a predicted model, not a curated record. Lineage: Eukaryota; Metazoa; Chordata; Aves; Passeriformes; Muscicapidae. The transcript has 4 exons.